GUGGGGAUUUGUUGCAUUACUU
Molecule: microRNA, 22 nt
Filed under: Pteropus alecto (black flying fox)
Lineage: Eukaryota; Metazoa; Chordata; Mammalia; Chiroptera; Pteropodidae
Also listed under: 1 other name
Description: pal-miR-92a-5p
Gene: pal-miR-92a-5p
Source: miRBase by way of RNAcentral